GAGCCCGGUAUCUCUGAGGAGCGCCGCAUCCGAGGGGCACGAAGUACCUGCUGGAUGUCUGGCAUCCGCGGUAUCCUCCACAUCAAGUGUGUGCUGGUCCAUUACCACGGUCGCUAUAACUUCUUCAAAGCCACAGUUUGAAGACUUCCACCUCACAGACUCAUCAUCCAUGUCACCAGGGAACUGGAAUCCUGACUCAGCUGAAAGUAACUCCACUCAGCCAUCUUUCUCUCCUGCAGAGCCUGAAGCCCACAGCCAAGUAUUGCCUAAGCUGGCAGUGACAAGAACUGGGAGGAAAGCAUCUAGAUCUACAAUAACGCAGAUGACAGAACCCCACCCUCAAAGGUACCCACAGUAUACGGAGCAAAAAGUGUCUCCAUGAUAUUUAUGGGAAGACGGAAUGCAAGAAGGGUGAGAAAAAAGAAAAGGAAGGAACAGGGAUGGCGUAUGACUGUUUUGCCUGCAUGUAUGUGCAUGCACCAACGUGCAGGUCCAGUACCCAGGUCAGAUCUCCUGGAAUUGCAAUUAAGGAUAGUUGUGAGCCACCAUGUGCGUGCAAGGAACAGAACCCAGGUCCUCUGUGAUAGCAACAAAUGCUCUCAGCCACUGAACCAUCUCUCAGAGAGCCCAGGAAGAUUGGCCUGGAAGAUGUGACCCACCUCCCAUGUCUGCAGCUAUGCUCACCAACCUGUGUGAAGAUCUGUGAAGUCCUAGUCUGCCCUGCUCUGUGAUAUGU
RNAcentral lists this long non-coding RNA (736 nucleotides) under Mus musculus (house mouse). RNAcentral's name for it is "predicted gene 11110". Lineage: Eukaryota; Metazoa; Chordata; Mammalia; Rodentia; Muridae. The record is from RNAcentral.